RNAcentral lists this ribosomal RNA (656 nucleotides) under Enterobacter sp. DJM1H3. Its description in RNAcentral is "bacterial SSU rRNA". It matches the Rfam family "Bacterial small subunit ribosomal RNA", at positions 831 to 1486 of the family's 1533-position model. The record is from RNAcentral. Lineage: Bacteria; Pseudomonadati; Pseudomonadota; Gammaproteobacteria; Enterobacterales; Enterobacteriaceae.
CUUGAGGCGUGGCUUCCGGAGCUAACGCGUUAAGUCGACCGCCUGGGGAGUACGGCCGCAAGGUUAAAACUCAAAUGAAUUGACGGGGGCCCGCACAAGCGGUGGAGCAUGUGGUUUAAUUCGAUGCAACGCGAAGAACCUUACCUGGUCUUGACAUCCACGGAAUUUGGCAGAGAUGCCUUAGUGCCUUCGGGAACCGUGAGACAGGUGCUGCAUGGCUGUCGUCAGCUCGUGUUGUGAAAUGUUGGGUUAAGUCCCGCAACGAGCGCAACCCUUAUCCUUUGUUGCCAGCGGUCCGGCCGGGAACUCAAAGGAGACUGCCAGUGAUAAACUGGAGGAAGGUGGGGAUGACGUCAAGUCAUCAUGGCCCUUACGACCAGGGCUACACACGUGCUACAAUGGCAUAUACAAAGAGAAGCGACCUCGCGAGAGCAAGCGGACCUCAUAAAGUAUGUCGUAGUCCGGAUUGGAGUCUGCAACUCGACUCCAUGAAGUCGGAAUCGCUAGUAAUCGUGGAUCAGAAUGCCACGGUGAAUACGUUCCCGGGCCUUGUACACACCGCCCGUCACACCAUGGGAGUGGGUUGCAAAAGAAGUAGGUAGCUUAACCUUCGGGAGGGCGCUUACCACUUUGUGAUUCAUGACUGGGGUGAAAGU